Long non-coding RNA from Pundamilia nyererei, 4596 nucleotides. RefSeq lists it as uncharacterized. NCBI's taxonomy places the organism in Eukaryota, Metazoa, Chordata, Actinopteri, Cichliformes, Cichlidae. The record is from RefSeq and is a predicted model, not a curated record. The transcript is spliced from 3 exons.
AGAAAAAGAGAAACAAGCAUCAAAAACUGAAGAUCCCAAGAAAGAAGAAAAUAUUACAGACAAGAAGAAACCUGGGCAGAGAUUCUUUCAGUGCGUUUAUGUCCCUGGCAAAAAUGCCCAGUACCCUUUACGACCUUUCACUCCAGCCAUGUCCCCCACCAUGAUGUCUCCUGCACUCAGAGCCAUGUUGGAGCAGCAAAGAGCAGCCAGGGCGUCUGGGCAGUAGGACCACCUGAAGCCUUUCUUUAUAUCUGACAGCACUGCAUCUUUCCAUCCAGCAGGGGGAGGUGUUUGAAUCUGUGCUAGCUUUACAUUAAGAGGAUGAUCACAGAGAGAGGAAAAAAGUGGACAGACUUACUUUGUCUUUAAUUUAUUGAAAUAUUCUUUUAGUGGUUGAGCUCCUGGGGUUGCUGUUAAUAUUGCCCAUUUUACCCUCUGCUUAUGCUGCUCUUCUAUGUCUAUGUUCAGUAAGAAAAAUGCCAUCUUGUGAAUAUUUUAAUUAUAAAUAGUAUUUAUAAUGUACAUAAUGCAUGUUUUUAAUUUAGAAUGGGAUAAAUGGGUUACAACUUAGGAUGUAAUAUAAAAAGCUGACUUUUGUGUUGCUUUCUCUAUGAUGCCCGUUAUCAGAUUUAACAGUAAUUUAUUUAAUUUAAGGCAGUUUAGUUUAUAUCCAAGCAAACACUUAUACUCUAUUAAGACAAGCUUUUAUUGUCUUAAACAGCUUUGAAUGGUUUAUUUUCAAAGUCUAAGAUUAUUUGCAACAGGAAAAUAUAUUACAUUGAAUUAUAUACAUAAUAUAUGUUAAUGGUAUCAAACCCAUGCAAAUACAUUUCACAAAAUACGAUUUAUUUGAACAGUAUUUUUUUCCAGUUUUCUAUAUAAAUAACUGCAUUUUCAGUUCCUGUAACCAUGCCCCGUGUUUGUUUCUGCUGCUUUGCUGCAUCUGCAAUAGAACAGAAUCCAAAUGUUGGAGGGUCAAAUCCCAGGAGCUCCCACACUGAUCUGAGCAGCAUCCCUGUCACUGAACAUCCAUCAGCCUCAUCAAUCGUAGGCGCAUGCUGUGACUGAUGCACACAUAUUUCUUGACAUAUUAAGAACACAUCUAGCAUGAAACUGUUGGCCAUUUACCUUUCACUGCUAAUGUUUUUUUUUGUUUGUUUGUUUGUUUUUGUAGAGGUUCAUUUCAAUAUGUUACAUGCCACAUUUUAAUUUUAACUGACUCCAAUCAAAGUGGUGUAUUGGAGAUACUAGGGUAACCAGAGAAUGGCAUAGUAGAUGAAUAAAAUAUAGAAGAAUCUGAAAAAAUAAAUAUUUUCUAACAUUUAAGAGGCACUGAAAAGAUUUGUUUAUCUCUAUGAAUACAAACUCAAUAAUGCAAUGCAGUCUCAUUGCACAUAUCAAAGCUCCAAAAUUAAAUUUGGAUCCAAUUAAGAAACAUAUUUAAAUGAAACAUAUAGGUAAGUAAGAAAAGGGGGAUAUAAUUUUAAAAAAAAAACAUUUUUUUGUGUAUAUACAAUAAUUAUUAAAUAGUCUAGGUUCUCUGUGUAACUUGAAGCAGCUUAUAUGUGGGACUAUGGGCUUCUCGGUGGUGGUUUAUUGGCCAUAAAGGAUAUGAGUAUGCAGCAAAAUGUUUUUGUUGCGCCUCAUUAGGUUUAAUAAAUUCAGAAAACCUCGUUUUGAUUUGUUUUCCUUUUAAAGCCAAAGAUUGCAAUGCUGUGCUUUUAUCUUAAAAAUGAAGUGCAAUUCCUGGAUAGUAAAUGUCUUGUAAUUAUGUGUUUUAUCACAGAUGACCUCUAAUUACUUACAAAUAUCAGCUCCUUUAACUCAUCGUGUUCAGAGGCAGGGACAACUUUGAUGUGACCAACUCAUGAGACACUGUGAUGUCUGCUACACUGAAUGAAUGUCAUUUGUGUUAACCAUCAGCUUAUUUAUUAAGUCUGAUCUUGUCAUAUUUCUUUUUACCUCAGUCAUUCAUAGCUCUGGUUUUGUGCCUUAUAGCAACAUGGCUGCCUUGUUGACGCUGCCAAACUGUUGCCGAGCAUCACCAGUGAUUGCUGUUGCCGUCUUACUGAAUGAAAACUUGAUGCAAAGAACCAAAAAAGGUGUUUUUACGCUGGGCUUAAUCCUGGGAUAUGACCCACCCUUGCCCAUAUUGUGCUGUCACAUUCACCUUUUAACAGAGUGAGUUCCUAAAGACAGACGAAUCUACUAGUUUUUAAUAGCUAGUUCGUGUUUUAAAAAUGCUUUUGACAUAUUGUUGCAUUUUUACCAUAUUAUGACCCUGUGGAUUGAGCUACAUCAAUUAUUAAAAAGUUGUUUUUUUUUUUGAGGUAUGGCAGUGAAGGGGGGCUCAACCAGAGUUUCUUGAACUUAUGAGGGCCAGGGACCUCUUAGAGGGGUGAAAGUUUUCCAACGUUCCCCUCAUAAUCCACAUUUAAAGCAGUUAAGAUGCUUUGAUCUUCGUGUUACUUGUUGCCGUGGACUGAUUCAGAUAUUUCCCUAUGCUAGCUUGCUAGCUAGUCAUCUAGCUAAUAUGCCAAACUAUGCAGCAGAACAUUUCUGCUGUCCUUGAGUGUAGUUACAGAGUUUCUACCAAAAUGACUCAAUGCACCAUAUUGAUAUCAGACUCUCUAUUAACCCAAAGAAAACCUUGGGGAUAGAAAAGGACUCAAUAUAUAUUCAUACUUUUUUAAACUGUGAAAUUGUUACCUUUCAUUAAAAUGCACUUUUAAUGAUGCUGCACAGAUUAUACAAUUUAAUGCAAAUUAUUUACAGACCUCUUGGCUAUGAGAUAUCAACCGCAGCGCCGACUCACCAUUGUACCUACUAUUCCCAACUGUGUUUUUUUUAAAAGCCUUAAACUGUAUUUGGUGACACUGAAUUUAGAGGUGAGUUUAGAGAAAGUUACUUGAAAACUUCUGUUUAAAUUUUGCAAACUAAAAAGAGUCAUACUUCAGUUUUAUAACAUAAUUAGAAUAUUUUUUUGUUACUUUUUAAGAGUUAGUUCUAAAUAAAGUGAUGUUUACUGAUAUGGACUGAAAACUUUCAUCACUUGUUUUGCCAAUAAUCUGUUGCCAAAGAUUGCACAGUGGCCAUUUUGACUAAAACGAGUGUGUUGCAACAUUAAAGAAGGACCUGCCCCUUUUAGGUGAAAGUCCAUAAUUUUGGUUUCUGGACUUUUUGUUUGUUUUUAUUUAGUUUAUUUCAUUUCAUUUUUCUUUAUUCCUGAGUUUAACAGAACAUUGAAUGUAAAGUUUUUUGUAAACUCUAAUUUUAUAAACAAGUCUGAAGUGAAGUGUAUCCCUGAGGUUUCAGUAUUACCCUCCAGGGGUGAGGUCAGCAGUCCUGAAGUGGUAAGGAAGCCUAAUGAGAUCUGACAUCAUGUACUGCUGCAACUGACUGUAGGUGUUGUAAGUGUUAGUUGGAGUAAGUUAUUACCUUAAAAUGUGGUUUUUACUGGUGUUUUGAUUAAUCAUAUUCCAGAAGGGCAUUUCAGCAGUAGUCUGCUUGUGCCUCAUAUAAAAUGAACAGUAAUUACAGCAUAAACUGUGGCUAUGUGCUGUAAUUAUGUUUUAAAGUGUUAUUAACUGUAAUUUAACGUGAGCUAAAUCGUGAUCUCAUACAAGAAAACAAACCAGAAGGAACACACAAAAACAUCAGAGCUCUAUCUAAUGUAACUCCAGGUUCUUCAUACAUAUUCAUGUGAGCCUACAGGUGUAAGGCUGAGUUCAACUUGACUACUCUACAUCCCUGAUUAUGUUUUAAGUACAUGCGUUUGGAUGGUGUUGUUAAAAGCAAGUGAUCUGCUUGAUCUUAUGCAUGUUUUUUUUCUGAAAAGCUGUAGUGCAACACUUACACUUUUGCUUCACUGUAUUUCACUAUGAUGUGUUGCUGUCAUAUUUGUCUUUCAUUCUUUUAUUGGUUUGUAGUUAUCUGAAACCACAGACAAUCUAAUUGAUCUGCGAUCUCCAAGCAGAAUAAAAAAUAGUUGGCUUUCUUGUAGAUGCUUCAUCUGGGAUUGGAGUGCAGUUUAACACUCUUUAAAAAAGUUUAAUUCCACAACAUACAGUUUGAGGUUGUUUUGUUUUGGAAGGAUAUAUUUUGUUAACAAAUUGUAAUAUUUUCUGCAUGAUAAUGUCAUUUAUUUAAAUUCAAGGCUGCUUUUUUGUAACACACAAGUAAGACUGCAGUGUCACAAAAAGCAGUCACUCUGGUGCUGUACAAAUACUGUAGAUAAUAGUUAAUUUCUUAUCAUCAUGAGACUUGUCACUCCAUUAGUUCUCAAAGAUAAUAAUAAAUUAGUUAACACGUUUGGUCAAAAAACAGUUUUAAAUGAAAGAUGUUUUUUUGUGCUUUAUCAAAGAUGUAUGAAAAUGAUGUUUCAUUCAGAGAAAGUAUGAACUACCUGCUGCAUGUACUAUAAAGCAGAUGUGUUUAAUUCACUCGGUCACUUUCCAGAAGCCAGUUAAGUGUCAUAACUGACAUUUCAAGCUAUAAUAUCAUUGGAGGGACAACACUGAGUCUGCUGUGCUUAUGUAGGAAACUUUUACCACUAUGCAGUUUUUGUGUCAAAACGUGAAUAAACUUUUGAAGAUA